GACGAACGCUGGCGGCGUGCUUAACACAUGCAAGUCGAGCGAGGCCCUCCUUCGGGGGGUGCCCUAGCGGCGAACGGGUGAGUAACACGUGGGCAACCUGCCCUCAGCUCUGGGAUAACUCCAAGAAAUUGGUGCUAAUACCGGAUGUGACCGCUGACCGCAUGGUCUGGUGGUGGAAAGAUUCAUCGGCUGAGGAUGGGCCCGCGGCCUAUCAGCUUGUUGGCGAGGUAACGGCUCACCAAGGCGACGACGGGUAGCUGGUCUGAGAGGACGACCAGCCACACUGGAACUGAGAUACGGUCCAGACUCCUACGGGAGGCAGCAGUGGGGAAUAUUGCACAAUGGGCGAAGGCCUGAUGCAGCGACGCCGCGUGAGGGAUGAAGGCCUUCGGGUUGUAAACCUCUUUCGGCAGGGACGAAGCGAUCAGUGACGGUACCUGCAGAAGAAGCCCCGGCUAACUACGUGC
This 467-nucleotide ribosomal RNA is filed under the name uncultured bacterium. RNAcentral's name for it is "bacterial SSU rRNA". It matches the Rfam family "Bacterial small subunit ribosomal RNA", at positions 28 to 508 of the family's 1533-position model. The record is from RNAcentral.